RNAcentral lists this ribosomal RNA (433 nucleotides) under uncultured bacterium. Its description in RNAcentral is "partial 16S ribosomal RNA". It matches the Rfam family "Bacterial small subunit ribosomal RNA", at positions 29 to 507 of the family's 1533-position model. The record is from RNAcentral.
AACGAACGCUGGCGGCAUGCCUAACACAUGCAAGUCGAACGAGACCUUCGUGUCUAGUGGCGCACGGGUGCGUAACGCGUGGGAACCUGCCCUUAGGUUCGGAAUAACUCCCCGAAAGGGGUGCUAAUACCGGAUAAUUUCUUCGGACCAAAGAUUUAUCGACUUUGGAUGGGCCCGCGUUGGAUUAGCUAGUUGGUAGGGUAAAAGCCUACCAAGGCGACGAUCCAUAGCUGGUCUGAGAGGAUGAUCAGCCACACUGGGACUGAGACACGGCCCAGACUCCUACGGGAGGCAGCAGUGGGGAAUAUUGGACAAUGGGCGGAGUCCUGAUGCAGCAAUGCCGCGUGAGUGAUGAAGGCCUUAGGGUUGUAAAGCUCUUUUACCCGGGAUGAUAAUGACAGUACCGGGAGAAUAAGCUCCGGCUAACUCCGUG